This 28417-nucleotide long non-coding RNA is filed under the name Brassica napus (rape). Its description in RNAcentral is "long non-coding RNA (BNAP_LNC003809)". Lineage: Eukaryota; Viridiplantae; Streptophyta; Magnoliopsida; Brassicales; Brassicaceae. The record is from RNAcentral.
AAAAGUUUUAUAAAGGUUCUCAACUCAAGUUCUUUCUUUUCUCUAAGAACCCAAACAAUGGCCUCUGCAUACAACCCCAUAUACACAGACGUCCCUGAAAAGGACGUCUUUGCCCUCCACUUCCUCCAAACCCUCUCAAACCUCAGAACACAAAACUCUUUCAGUUCUCCUGACAAUAAAACAAGCGAUCGUGUGAAGAAGAUCAAGAAGGCUGCGUACGUGUCCAUGGCCAGAGCAGCCGGGGCAACUAACCGGCUGUGGAGUAGAAGCCUCUUACACCAAGCCGCUAAAAGAAACAACAAGAACGUAAGAUUCCUAAGGAGGAAGAGGAGGGUGACGUGGCUCAUGAGGAGAAGAAGUAACCGGGGAGAUCCAAUAGAGGAUGUAGCGGCGGAGAGGCUGAGAAAUCUUGUUCCGGGAGGCGGAGGAAUGGAGACUUCAAAACUGAUGGAAGAGACGGCUCAUUACAUCAAGUGCCUUAGUAUGCAGGUCAAGGUCAUGCAGUGUCUUGUUGAUGGCUUGUCUCCGAAAUGAUCAUCAUCAAUAAUCAUAAUCAUCAUCAAUGAUGCAUAUAACGAUAUACGAUACACAUAGUAUUGGAAUGGGGUGAUCGCCACAUACGUGUAAGAUAGGGUAUAUCAAUACAUGAAAUGUGUGGAUAUGUACUAGUCAAUAAGCUACAAAAGAUUUUUUUUUUUUUUUGAAUUUUGUUAAUAGGGGAUUUUAUAUUUAUCAUUCUAUGGCUGUUUAAGUUGGUAUUGCUUUUGUAUAUAAAAAAAAAACAUUAUAAACAUUAGGGUUUGGGAACUUGCAGUUGAAAUUAUAUAUUCACUACUUUCUUUUUCUUUAUGAGAAUGAUGUUUCUAUGGCUGGAUUAUAUAUUUUACUUCUAAUUUACAAAAUAAACUAUAGUUUGAUUAUAAAUUUUUAACUAUCAUAAAAUCUACGUUAUAAUUUGUAUAGCUUAUACUAUACACAUGAUUGUUAAUGUUAGAGAACAAAUAUUAUACCCUUUUUUUAUAACGCACAGACUACAGUAUUCAUGCCGAAUUAAAAUCAAAUUACAACACAAUCACAUAAUUAACGAAGACGAAAAGACUACUAAACUACGUAACUCCGAAUUUGUUUUCUUUCUAAAUAAGCGAUCGCAACUUUACGUGGGAACUGGAUUAUCCACACAUGUCAUAUAUUAUACUAUUAUGAAGUUGGUCAUACAUAUGUUUCAUACGAUUGGCCUACUUUAUCAAUAAUGGAACACACGUGCAUGUACAUAGACCGGUCAAUUCCACAUUAAUGAGAACUGGUCAUGCAUCUAAAUUUAAGAGAAGCUUAUAUUAUAUGGACUCUGUACAACAUGUCAUGAGUCUUAUGCCACAGGCAGAGGAUCCUCUGGCGUGUAAGACUCUGUUGCUUCUAUACCGUAGUUCCAUAGCUCUUUAAGCUCUCCUCUUACCAACCCCAUAACGACAGCCAAACCUACAGAGAAACAACACAUCAGGUUUUGUUAACGGACAGGAACAGAUGGUAGAAGAGAAACUCAAGCUUCCGGUAUUUUACCAAGUGUGCAGGGAACGAUGUAGAGUAGCGCAGGCUGGCCAUGUCCGUCCAUUAGAUACAGACCUAGACAUGUCAGUAACAGACCUACACAACAGAAAGUAAGAAGCCGUCUUGAACAAGAAAUCAAUAUAUAUUACUUGUCUAAAAAGAAACUAAUGCUUCAGCUAUGUUUGAAGAGUGAAACUUACCUACACCAUAACCAAUAGUCAAGCAAAGAAAGUACCCACUUGACACUACCCUCUUCUUGAACUUGUCAUAUCUAAAACCAAAGAGAAGAGAAAUCAUCAAACUCAUACAGAAUUGAACAAACAUCUAGAGAUUUAAAGGGUUCUAAGUGUGUUAUUUGAAGCUCUGAGAAGUGGUAUACCUGGAAGCAAAGCAAAUAAGCAUACCAGGGACGCAAAUGUCCCCAAAACCAAUCAUUGGUAGCUACCCCCAAGGAUCGAAAAACCGAGGAAUCCUGAGAAACAUUGGCAUAGACUCCCCGCUGCUCCUGUCCCCUUGAGCAACCUACAAAAGAAGUGAUCUAAAAAGUAAGGAUCUCAACCAGCUAAAUUUGACAUGGUUUGCGAUUUAGAAACUCACCACAAUCAUAACACUCUCGUGGAAUAUCAACGGUGAUAUGAACACCCAGAAAAUGUCAUAUACAAAGGCGCAGCAGAGAAGCACAGUAGCAACCUGAGAGUACAUAAGAACUCUCAGCAUUUAAUCACAAAUCACUACAUAACAAGUUAAAGUCAAGACUUAAGCUACCUUGAUGUUAGGUAAUCGAACCACUUGCAAGGAUGUGAUCAUCAAACAGAUCCCCUGUCAAACAAUUUGACUGAUGAAUACUUACACAUAGUGCAAACCAAAGGAACUGAAACAUUGACAGAGCACUUACCAAUAUGUCUUGUCCAACCCAUGAAUAAUAUGUGUGUCGUUUCACAAACCAGAAUACAGUAAACGCCAGACAGAUAAUAAUCACCAGAACCGACAUCCAUGACACUGUCCCAAUCAAAGGGAGCUUCACAGUUUUCCGACCAAGAUGUCUCCACUUUCUGCAGGCGGAUCACAACAUAAUAUCCAAUUAAUUAAGAGAUCCUAAGAAGUUUAACAUUUAGGAAGAAUUGAGAAUACCUCAAUAAAACUGCCAUAAUGAUCUUAUGCAUAUCCUGAAAACAAACAUACAUUCAAUCUCAAAUACUCUACACUAGUCUAGCUCAAAACCACAAGAAUGUUACUUGCAUGCCAAAAAUGCAGAAGAAGAUGAUGAGCACCAAUACUAACCAUGAUGACAUGAAGUAGAAAAGCAGCAGCAGAAAAACGGAGGCUGUUACUAUAAAGAACACAGCACCUGUGACACUAUGGAAGUUUCUAAAUUAUGAGUUUCUUACUAAUGGGUAUUGUAGACACUAAGGCCAGAUGGGCUUGUAAACAUUUUAUUUUCUUUUGCUCUUUAAUAUGAAAGCCAAUGUUCAAAAAAAAAAAAAAAAAAACAAAAAUUAAGUUCUAAAUCAAUCUUCCUAGCCUCUCAUUUAGUAUAGCUACCAAUGGUGAAUACCAAACAAGAUGGUUAACCUUUGAUGAUAUGCUGUAAGAUUCAUUAGCUUGGUCAGGAUCUGUGAGGUCAGACCACAGAGAUCCAACGACAACGGUUCAAACAGCCAUGUCCACAGCAGGACGAGUUGGUGCAUACAACAGAAGCUCAACUACAAAAACAAAAGACGUUUUUUUAGAAAAUCAACAACAACAAACAACUCAAUAAAAGCCUAUUUAACGAACUACACACACUCACCACUCUUGUUUUCUAGCAUAGACUUGUAGAGAGCAUACCCGCUUGACUUAGAGAUCAUUAACACAGGUAUAGUCACAUUCAAAGACAUGUCUUUCUCCACACACACCAUCUCAUCAGGAUCUAACCAAAAAAAAAAAGAUUAAAUCAGACAACACAAAGCUUCUAUUUAUUUAUUUAUUUAUUUAUUUUUUUAAAAAGAUUCUAUCUUUACACAAACCCAUUUUGAAAAAAGUUAAAAAAACAAACCUUCUUUGUCAUUAAUGACCAAUAGAGCAGAAGCACCAGCUGCUUCAGCGUGUUUGGCCUUCUCACAGUUCCCACGGAAGGACACUGCAAAUGCGUCCAUCUAACUGGAAAAACAAACAUUCAAUAAUCUGUGCAAAGUCAUAGACUUUAAGAAGAGAGAGACUGACCCUUGAAGAGAGAAUGUAACAUGAGUCCGGAGGAUCUACAAGAAAAGCGUGAAGUCUACGGCUUUGACGAGCUUUAGAAGGUAAGGAAGCUCCGAAGCCGGUAAAGUAGGAACCUUUAACAUCAUUGAUCCAGUUUAAGACCUUCACCUGUAGAUGGAAGGUUCGAGGAGGAGUAAGAGAGUGUGAAGAGAAUCAUGAAAAUGGAAUUUUACCGUUUGAAACUUAUUGGAGCAGCCAGGAGGAGAGGAGUCGUCGGAAGCUGCAACGGAGAAACAGUACUACAAAGGGAGAGCAUCAAACGACGACAUGAAGCAACCGACGGGAGUGUGAGAGAGAGAUGGAAGAGUUGCUGUUAGAUUAAUCUUUUUAUAGAUUAAUGGACGGUCGACAAAUUUUGGAUUAAUGUUAAUUCUAAUAGUUAUUCAGUUGGUAAUUGUAAUCCCUUAUAUACUAAAGCGCAAGUCGCCUAACGAAUCAAACUCUGACACGUGGAAUUUUUUCAAAAAAAUGAUUGAAAAAUACAGAAAAGCAAUCACGUUUUUUGUUCAUCAAAAUAUGAAAGUUUCACAAUUUCAAAUAACCAACAUUUUAUAAAUUUCUCAUACACGGAUGAAACUUGUGGAUUUUAAAAAUCAAUAAAAGCUAAUUAAUUAUCAACAUAAUAAUUAAAAUCUAAAUCUAUUACAAAAUCAAACUGUAUAAAAAUAACAGUCUCUAUAAAGAACUCCACGAUCCCUAUUCUCAUGGCAUGAUUUCAAACUAUUUAAUUUUCUCAAAAAAAUUCAAAAAUGUCAUUCAUUUACGAAACCAAAAAAAAAUCAAAAGUAUACUACGUUCAGUUGAUUUCAAAUAUUUGUAACUGCAAAACAAGAAUCCUAUUUUUACACAACCACGUUCCAAAAUGACUUUCGUAAAUCCUUCCCUCUCAAUGUCAACUGCUUCACCUCUUAUAAAACAUUCAGUUACGGUUUUUACUUUUCAAUAUUCUUUUCUUUGUUUCACUUUUUGGUCUAAGAAUACACAGCAGAGAAGAUAAUCUUUUUUUUCUCUUCUUCGUCUCCACAAUUUCAUCUUCUUGGUAAUUUUAUUUUGUUUUCGAAUUUGACAAAAAUUAUUUAAAUUCAUUUCUUCUCUUUUUCGAACACUAUUCUAUUAUAUUUUUCUGCAUGAUUCAAAGUUGAGGAUUUGAUCAUAGUAUACUUCUGUUUUGUAGUUUACACUUUCACAAAAUGGUGGAAAAACAGAGCUUUCUUUCACACAAUAUUACUACCAGAAGCCUAAAGUUAUUCUCAGCAUGAAAAGUUAAUUCUUAUAGAAAAAGGUAAACACGACUGGAUUUAAAUCAUGGUAUGAGAAAAUCUGUUUAAAUAGACAAAACUUCUUUUUAAUCUGUUUAAAUAGAAUUCUUUGAUUGUUUUAAUUUUUUAUAUAUAUUUUUAAUAUAAACUAAUUAAUUAUAAUUUUCUAUAAAUAUAUAUAUAUAUAUAUAAUUUUAAAUACUCUAAGACGACACUAAAACAUCUUUUUGUUUAAAGAAUAAAGAAAUUUUUUUACAUUAUAUUUUAAUCUUUAAAAUCUUUAUAAUUCUGACAUAUAUUUUUGGGUCUCUGAAAUUGAGCUAAUCGUUUCUUCAACUAAUUUGAGCUAUUUAUUAAAGAAAAAAUAAAUAAAGAAAGAAAGGAAGGUUCUGUUUUUUUUCAAAUGAUAAAGGAGCACAGAUCCAUUCAAAGAAACUCCUCUGACGUUUUCCCACACCCCCCAAAUCUCAAACCUCCUCUCCGAAAGACUGUUACUAAUCUGCUCCUUUUGGUCGGAGAACGAAAAAAAAAACAUAGGAAACAUAUGGCAGCUCCUGCCAUGAAGAUCGUGUUCGGUCUAUUGACAUUUGUCACUGUCGGAAUGAUCAUAGGUACUCUCUCUCUCUCUAUUUAUAGCAGAGGCUAUAAAGCUGUAAUUUGAUGUCACCUCUCGAUCUUAUAUAGCUUUAUUUUUCAUUACCGUGACUCUAGCUUUAAAUCUGUUCUGUUUAUUUUUUUUAAAUUCGGAGACGACUAUGACAUUGACUUUUUAUGAGGAACUGAAGCGGCACUUUUGGUAACUCAUGUAGUUUGUGUUUCUUGUUUUUUGUUUUCCCCUGGAAUCUGCAGGUGCCUUAUUACAAUUGGCCUUUAUCAACAGACUGGAAGAUUCGUACGGUAACUACCUCUUUCUUCCUUUUUUUAGAAUAUGUUUUAUUUUGUAGUUUUGAAUGUCUUUUGAUUCUUUGUGAUGUUAUGUUGCUUAUUGUUGUGGUGUCCUUUGAUUUUCUCAGUUGCUUCUUGUUUCAGGAAAUGGAUUACCAUCCUUAAGAGGGCUUCGGGGACAGAGCUCUCGACAUCUCCGAGGUUCGUAUAAUUUAGGACAAGACUAUUCUUGGAAAGAUUAAUUUGAGAUUAAAUGGAAAUUAUAGCGAUAACUCAUAUAUUUUCAGAUGUUUCCCGGUGGGCAAAUGACAAAGAUGCAGAAGCUUUGCGGCUUGGCUAUGUAAGUCUUAUCAUAUCCAUUCUGUAAAUUCAAGGUCUGUUCUUAAUGUUGAUUUGGUUUAGUGCAGGUCAAGCCUGAAGUAGUUAGUUGGUCCCCUCGAAUUAUUGUGCUUCAUAACUUCCUCAGCUCAGAGGUAAUCUACACCGCCCCUUAUAUAUAUUAGUGACUAGUUCAUUGAGUUAAACUUGGUGGCAAUGAGUUAGAAUGAUCUGUUACUUCUAUACAACAUGCUAUCAUAUUUCUAGAGGAACAUAUUCAAAGUAUGUUAGGCCUUAGAUGGAACCUUUUUAUUAUCAUUGUUCUAAUUGCAUUACCAUAAGAGUUAGCAAAAACGGCUUUUAUCAUUUUGUUUUGCCUUUUAAACAAGUUUCUUAUUGUUCUCUUGAUUUGUAUAUCUUCAGGAAUGUGAACACCUCAAAGCUAUCGCCAGGCCUCGCCUUCAGGUUUCCACUGUCGUCGAUGUUAAAACCGGAAAGGUACUGCGAAAUUCAUAUUCACACUCUAGAGAUUCCACUGUUCCACUAUACUCUAGAUAAGCAUUCAAAAUCUUAUACAUUCUCUUAUUACUUUCAUCUUGCUUAGGGAGUUAAAAGUGACGUGAGGACAAGCUCUGGAAUGUUUCUAACUCACGUAGAAAGAAGUUAUCCAAUUAUUCAGGUAGGUCAUUGGCUCUCUAAUGUUUUCAGAAGUUAUGUCAUUUCAAUUUGAUAAAUUAUAUUUCUUUUCCUUUUGCUAUCAGGCAAUUGAAAAGAGAAUCUCAGUCUUUUCUCAAGUACCAGCAGAGAAUGGAGAACUCAUUCAAGUCCUAAGGUGCGUGUACAAUUGCAAUCUUACUACUCUUUAAGUCAAAGCAAAUGUUGUUUUCUUGAUUUGAUGAAUCAAAAUCUGCUGCAGUGCAGAUAUGAACCGAACCAGUUUUACAGACCACAUCACGAUUACUUUUCUGACACUGUAAGUCUCUGGUUAUAUUUCAUUUCUAUAUCUUGCUUAUGGUUCUGAUCUUCUUCUUCUUUAUCGUCUUAGAACAAUUAGUUUCUUGAGUAAGUUAUCUUGUGUGUACAUCAUAUCUCUGUCUUAUGCUUUCCACACAGUUCAAUCUGAAGCGUGGUGGUCAGCGCGUAGCAACAAUGCUAAUGUACUUAACAGAUGAUGUUGAAGGAGGUGAAACUUAUUUCCCUUUGGUAUAGCUUCUUCUUCCCCUUGUGUAGGUUCUCUUUAUAACACAUUUGUUUCUUCUCUCUUAUGAAACCAAUUUGUAUAUAUUUUUGUCUCUUUUCAAAUGCAGGCUGGUGAUGGUGAAUGCACAUGUGGAGGCAAAAUCAUGAAAGGCAUUUCUGUGAAACCCACCAAAGGAGACGCAGUUCUCGUCUGGAGCAUGGUUUGUUUCUUCAGUCUCUUUAUUGACACAGACAUGAAUCAUGUGGGCUGCUUUGUGUUUCAUAUUGCCUUGUAUCUUGUGUUAUUCAGGGGCUUGAUGGACAGUCAGAUCCAAAGAGCAUACAUGGAGGAUGUGAAGUUCUGUCUGGAGAGAAAUGGUCAGCUACUAAAUGGAUGAGACAAAAAGCUACUUCUUGAGGGACUUGAAAACUUUAUAAACUAAAGGAACCACAGUGACUUUAUAUUGAAAAUGUCUUAGAAUCUAAGAUUUUUGAUAUACCUCUUUUUUGACCCUUGAAUUUUAUAAUCUAUCAUUUACAUACAUAUUGGAUUUGGAGGUGUAAUCACUUGUCACCCAACUGCAACAAAUCUUUGGUUACUAUUCCAUUGUCACAUAUACACUGAUAGGCUUACCUACGUGUCUGUGUAUGAAGAAAGCAAACCUUAAAAAUAGAUACAAAACUUAUAUUAGAAAACUAUUUAAGAAACUAAUAUAUGAAGUCCUAAACCUAGUGCUGAGAAGGGUUGGAUAUGCCCUACAAAAUCUCUGAUAUGAUCUACAAAAUACAUAUGAGGGGGAAUAUGUAUGUAAAUAAUAGAUGAUAAAAUUCAAGGUUCAAAAAGAGUAUAUCAAAAGUCAGAGAUUAUAAAGUCACUGUGCUUUACACGAUCAAUUUAAAGGGACGGAGGAUUCCAUGAAGCUGCUAAAAGAAAUCCAUUACAAAAUGCAAGAAGUGUUAUUAUUACUUGCUGAGGAGAUUCCUUGCCAUCAUUUGAAUUUGUUAGCGAAAAGAUAUGAGAGUUACCCUUAGGUGCGCUGAAUCUCUUCAACCCCAGCUCCAUCGGUCCUCCAUCCUCCUCUUGAAGCAGCUCUUCUCUCCCAUGACUAUGGUGGUGAUUGUGUCUCUUCCAUCCGCUACUUCUUCCGUUGCGAUUUCGUCCAAUUCCAGAUCCGCCUCCGCGUCUGCCUUCUUUGAUGUCGUUCGAAGCCCUCUCUCCACCGUUAGCUGAAAUUAAUGGUAACUGUUCAAAAUAAUAGUAUCUAUUACAGAAAGUAUCCUAAAAACUGAAAAUAGUACCAAAAAUUAAUCUCCGCUUAAUCUCCGAUCUUUUAGUUUCGACUACCGCCUAGCGUAGUUUUUAACAUUGGUAUUAAUAGAUAGUCAACUCAUAAUUUCUGUCAAUAAAUUUUAGCACAUGUGAUGAGUGUAUGAUUAGAUCGGAACUACAAAACAUUGUUGUAAUAAGAAUUGUCCGUUUUUCCCUCCAACACAUAUAACACAUAUCAAAGUUGGUGUGUUUCGUUUUAGAAAUAGAAAGAAUAUGAUAUUUUAAUAUUAUAUUCUUUUUUCAGCAAAAAUAAAUAAAUAAGUAUAUAUAUAUACAUAUAAUAUUAAAAUAUCGUAUUCUUUCUAUUUCUACAAUAUUAAAAUAUAAAAUUAUAUCUAUGCAACAUCAUUUCUGAAAUUGAGUUGAUUUGGGCGGCCCAUAGAACUAAAUAAACAUAUUUAAACGGCAAGAGUAUCGAAGGAUAAGAACAAUCGUCGAAACCUUAAUUGCCGACCAUGAGGGCGAACCUAAGAUCUUUGGUCGCGAAGGUAGAUCUCGAGAAUCAAACCGCUUGCGAUGUUCUGUUUUGUCUUUGUUUGUGCGCGAUCUAUCUGAUUUUUGACCAACGUUAUGUUCACAGGCUUACCGUGUUCGUCAAGGCCGUACUUUCUCUUCCUCUUCCUCCACUACCAAUCCUAUCGACAACAAAGGUUAGCCACUUUCUCUCUUUUCCCCCUGAUGAAAUAUAUCAAAAUCUCGAGCCUCUAUUUUUAUUUUGAUAUCUGCAAUUGAUCUUCCAGGAAAAAGAUCGGUCAUCAACACAGUCAAUAAUUUAAGUAAUAUGCUCGCCUGGUUUACUGCUGGAUAUGUGUUUAAAUUUGGUUGGGGUAAUAAAAAUUGAAUUUAUUUUGGUAUUUUCCUAGUGAUAGAGAUAAGAGAAAAAGACAACAUGUUCAUCUGUGUUUUGCUUACAUAUUUCUCAGAAGCGUCGGCCUUAUACAAAUCCAAGCGAAAGUCGGAUAAGUUGUGGGAAGAAUAUAGACGCGAGUUAGAACUUUAUCAUGAGGAAAGGGUAUGAAUCUUUCCCCUCUCUCUCUCUCUCUGCUCUUUUUAGUUUGGCUUUUGAAGUUUAAAAACUAACUCCUAUAUGUGUGCUUUUCUUAUUAUCUCGUGCAUUCAGAAGGCAGAACCGUAGCCUGCGUGGAUUAUCCGAGGAAUGACAUGUUCGUGUCUCAUACGUUUGUUGUGUAUGUUGCAAUGCUGUGAACUGAAUUAUCUAUGGUUGUAAUGUCGGAUUUAUACUUGUUUGGUUGGCGUUUAUAUCAAUUGGCCUCGGACUUCUCAACGUUUCUUGGUGUUAAUGAUUUUCCCCUAUCCAUCGUAUCUUUGUUUCCCCACUUGACCGUGGUGGCUUUGUUAUCAUGUGUUUUGAACUUUUACUCCAUUGUUUGAAUGGAGAGGAAAGCUAUCUAGAAUAAAUCAUGCUUAUUGUUAUGCUUGUUUUCGCAUGCAAUUUUUACACAUAUAUCUCAGGAAUUCUACUAAAGAAUUUUUGUUCGCUUCAUUUUCCUAAGGAAUUUUCUUUCUUUGUAUCUCGUGUUUAUUACCAACACACGCAAUUACCCUUUAGCUUCUUGUUAAAUUAGUGUACACAGUAUGCGUUUUACUGUUGGUCUAAACCAAAGUGGAUAAAGUUGGUCAUUGACAUUUGGUAAUUCUUGCUCCACAUUCAUGUUUCUGAUUAUUAAGAAAAUGUAACAAAGAUAAAAUACAAACUUGUUUUAUAGCUAUGUAAUUAAUUUAUCAUUGUUGUUAUAAAAGAAUGCAUCUCUCUUUCUGUAAGUUAUUAAACCAACCAACUUCUUAAAAUAAAACUGGUACAAAGAGAUGUUACCACGAACAGCAAGAAAAUGAUUAAUUUGGGCUACGUCUUGUUUGGAUAAUAUAGAGACGGGUUGUAUGAACUCUUAUUUGAGAGUGCGAUGCAAAGGAGUUGACAUAUAUAGGCUACUAAUAUCCCGCAUAAAUGGCCGCCUAGUCUAAAACCCAUAAGAAUAUUUUAUGAGUUGACGAAAGAAGAGACCCAUCCAUGCAAAGAAAGCAAAAAACAGUUUGUGUUCACUUUAACGGUUUCUGAUAACUGCAACGUUAAGCAGAGAAUUUAUAUAUGAAGUAUAUUAUAUACAUUCAUUCUUUUCAAAAGAUUAGAAAUUAAUGGAACCCAAUCAAAGGCUAAAGUUAAAAAGUAUAUUAUAUUCAUGCAGGGAAGGGCACACCAGCUUCACCCGCAAACUCUAAAAACCAUGUGUGAUCAACUUACAAACUUCGCACUGAUGACAAUGUCAUUACCUUACUCUCAACCAUCAAUAAUUAAUAAUGAGUUCUUUUUUCAGAUUCAUAUCGUUAUAAAGUAACUAGAUACUUUGAGACUCACUUUAUGUCGAUUUAUCCCUUAUUGCUUGAUCUCUAGCUUCAUAAAAAUGUUCUUGUUUAAUUUCACACUUGCUUUCUUCUGGUUUAUUCAUUUUUGAUUGUGAAGUACUGAAAUAAAUAACAUCUCUCGAUCCCUAAAAUGUUUUGUGUAUAGCUUACUCGUGUUUAGACUCUCUUUUCCUCGCAUAUUUCUUUCGUUACUUAGAGCAGCAUUAACGCAAAGGAGAGGAAGAGUGGGUUUUAAACUUUUUUUUAUUAUUAUUUUUAUGUUUUGUCCGAUUUAAAAAAAAAAUUAAAAAUUGACUCAUCGCAGGCUGCCACGUAUCAGUGGGGCCCGCGAAAAGUGAUAAAACCCUUACAAACUCACCUCUUACGGAAGAGGCAGAGGAGGCAGAUUUUAAUUUAUAGUGGGACCCACAUGAUUUUAAACUUUUUUUUUUUGGAAGAGUCAGCCUUAAGAGGCAGGGAUAUUAAUGCUCUUAGAUGUAUGUGAGCAAAAACAGCAAAUCAAUAAGCCUUGGGAACCUUUUGAUGUCCCAGAUGGAGUAGCAUAGUAAGUAGAAUUACCAUAAUGAUUUGGGCUAUGUCUUGUUUCAUUGUUUGGGUAAUGUAGAUGGUCGACAUGACUCUUAUUUGAGAGUGAGAUGCAAAGGAGUUGAUCAAGGCUACUCCUAAAAACUCGCAGAAAUGGCCGAUUCUUCAUAGUUAUUGUAUGGGUAUUCUAUCUACGCAUAAAAAUAUAGAAGCUUUCUUCAACCUUACUUCUACUUUAAAGCGUGGCAGGCCACAAUCAAUUUGUUCUAGUGUUGGCAGAGUUUGCAUCCUAUUUCUCUAUUAUUGUUGUGUUAGACAAUCGAUGGUUAUCACGCAUGUUCAAAUCUUCCAGCAAAUUAAAGAAUAUACUAUAGCAUUUAAGUUUCAACUCUUUUAAGUCAAACCAACUAUGUAAAUUUUGUUAUAAUCUUGCUACUUUCAAAUAAUAUCAUUUUAUACAUCACAUUUUAAGCUUUUCUAUUUAAUUGUCUCUGUCUUCAACUUUAAAAAAAAAAACUCGGCAUGUACAUAGAUCUGUUGUCUUUUUGCAUUGCUUACAUUUAUUAUCCAUAUAUUUUUGUAAAGGUUUUUUCUUUGUCAAAGCUGAAUUCAAUGAUACAAACAUUAUAGAAGGCAAUAGUCAAAUCUUUGUGUGAUCUAACCUAUACUAAAAGGGAUAUAUGAAGAGUAGAGAAGCUGCCACGUCUGCAAAUAAAAUCAUCCAAUCAUUAUGUGACAUGUCAGCCAAAACUACAUACGCAUCUCAACUAUGGGAAACCUUUCGUCUUCUCCACGAGUCCUUGCAAAAAUUGGAUUGUUACAUCUUCCAAAAAUUCUUCGUUCGUUUGGCUUAAUUCCAGGGGUAUUGGGUUGGUACUUUGUGCGGGGGGGGGGAACAUAAUACAUACAUCAGGUCGAGAUUUCAUCUGGAGCUGCUGUAGUUGCAGCAAUUAGCUUAUCUAAAAGGGCCUACAUUCGCAGGGAAACUCAUCAUCAUCACAGUAAAUAAAUAAUAGAUUUCACUUUCCUGUAAUCGUGUUACUGGUUUAGUUUUUGAGCUUUCGAUUUACUAAGAAGUAUGUGACACAAGAGAAAGUGAUGGAAUAGCUUCGUCAGAUGAAUUGAAACAAAGAGGAUUUGAUAUACUAAUGCUAUCUGAAUUGAUGGAGCUGGAGGCUAUGAAAUCAAGUUCUCAGCUAAACCAUAUGGUGCUUCCUCGGUUCUUAAAUUGAAACAUGAAUUAGGCAAGACAGUUUUGGAUCUGGUGAAGAAUAUUAUGGAUCAAGCUUUCUCUGUGAAAUUGAAUGGUCAUGUACUCAUGUUCAGUUCUCCUCAAAUAGUAAUGCUGAGUUGAAUGAUCUUCUUUCGAUUACUUCUGAGUUCAAUUUGACAAAAUAUUCAGCAAAAUGGAGGCAGCUCUCACCGCUUAUCUCGCAUUUUCAGAGGUGAAUUUCUCACUGAGUGUCAAUCUUUUCUUUUCUUUUUUUGCCAUUUGACUCAGUGUUUUCUCCGUGUACCUCAGAUUUGUCCGCAAAUCUACAAUCUUUUCUGAUAUUUCUGUUGAAUUGCAGAUUAUAGCUUUGAAGGAAUGAGACACAGAUUAGUCUCUGAGGAAGCAAAAGCCACAACCAAAUACUUUAUUUCCUGAUCUGAAACAUCUUAUAUCCUAUGUAAAUUAGAUGUCUCUUUGAUGACCUGAAGAACAUAUAAAUUGUUUUUGUGUUGUGAGUCAAGAAAAAGAUUACACGAUUUGUAAUGUGGAGUGAUGUAGUAAAUAAUUAUUUGUUUGUUUUACUAUUCAAAUAAUAUUUGUGAUUUUGUGGAGUCUUCACGUCUUUAUAAAUGAAAUUAGAAAAGUUGCACAUAACAAAUUAAGAUCAAUUUAACAGUUUAGUAAAAAAUAAUUUUGCAAAUUAAAUAUGUUAGUUUUUGCCACAGAUACAAUAUGCAUAUAUUACAUCAUUUGUGAAAACAUGGACAUAUUCAAACAAAUGAAAUUGUGUGUGAUAAAUGUUUUAUGGCAUAUUAUAAAACAAGGUAUUUUAAAAUUUAAAUUAAAUUGAAAAGUAAUUUAAAUUGUUUACUGUAAAAAUAAAUUGAUACUAGGAAAAAAAAACACAAAAAUACUUUUAAUCUCUUAUAAUCCGACCAAACCAUCUAUGCAUAUUUUAAUUCCAUCAAAAUUAAGCAUGAACAACAUAUAUAUUCCACACCAAAAACGGAUGCCCCCUUAAUCAAAUAGGAAAAAAAAAGAUCUACAAGUGAAAGUUUGUUUGCUCUUUUGGUUUACUAAUGGUUAAUCAAUGAUUUUACACCAUGAAUUCUCAUUUUAGAAUCUUAGAAUAGAACAAACUAUGCAGAUUAGUAGAUCUUUUUCAUAUAGAAUCUUUAAUAUGGUGCAGAAAGUAUAGCCAGACGUGGAUUUAAUAGAACGAUUCAAAGUGAUAUAAUCAGACGUUAAUUUUCAUAAAUUAGGAAGCAUUGUCGGAUACAAAAUCGUCUAUGUAAUAUUUCUAUAAUAUCAUAAUAUAUCAGUGCUAAAAAUAGUAUGUAUCUACAUAUGCAAGAUAAUACAUAUCCACAUAGGACUGAGAGUUCGCGUCUUCGGUUCAGUUCCUCUCAAGUCCGAGCCCUUCGGAUCUUAGCAUUUGGAUCCAAUUAGGUAUUUGGAAUUUUUUUUAUCUGGAUACAAGUCGGUUCCUUUAAGGUUCGGAUUGGUUCCUCUUGGAUCCGGAUCGGUUUGGAUCUAUAGUAAAAAUACAUGUCAUUUUCGGAUCCAUAGCCGAUUCGGGGUCGGGUAUUUAAGAUCCAAAAAACUGAAGUACCCAACUCCAUCAAAAUUACCCUAAAUCCGUCAUAUUUAUCUAAAAUUUAUAAAAUAACCAAAAUAAACUAUUAAUUAUUAAAAUUAUAAAUUAUAAAUUGUAAAUUUGACAUUUAAAGUUUCACAUUGCUUAAAAAUCAUUAAUAUAAAAACGAAGAUUGCUAACAAAAAGACAUUUCAACUAAAUCAUUAAAUAAAUACAAAGAAAAUAGACACAUAAAAUCAUAGUUUUGGAUAUUCAUGUUUUAGGUCGGAUAUGAAAUGGGUCUUAUCAGCGGAUCUAUUCAGGUCGGUUCUUUAUGGGGCAGGGUCUAUUAGGGCAUGGGUCUAUUCGGUUUGUUUUUUUUCGGCUUCGGUUGUUUUGUGUAAGGCAAUUUUAAACCAACUAGGUAUUUAUAAAUUUACGGUCCGGUUUCGUAUCGGGUAUUUUCGCGUUGGUUCUGGUUCAAAUUUUUGGAUCCGAAUAAAAUGCUCAGGUCUAUAUUCAUAGAUGUACGAAAAUAUAUUUACUAUACACUCUGUUUUUAGUAUAUGAAGUUUGAAGUUUUUUUGUUUAAAACUACAAGAGUUUUUCAAUUUUCAAUAUAAAAUUUUGUUAUUUUUAUGCUAUUUUAUAUUUUAUAUUUGCAGAUUAUUUAUGCGUUGAACGAAAUAUGGUUAAAUGAUGUUUUUUUUAGAAAAUAUAUAAAAUUAAAUGUUUUUAAUAUAUGUGCACAAUUCCAAAACAUUAAAUAAAAAUGAAAAUAAUAAUAAUAAUAGUAUUAUUUUAAUUUGGUAUUAGAGGUCCAGCAGUUAUACAAAUUUACCACUUAUUUAAUAUGUUAUAUUAUUAAAAGUUUUCGAUAUCAGCAAAUUAGAAGUUUUACAAAUUACAAAUUUUGUUUGUUUGAUAAGAGUUUUAAAUAUGUAUGUGUUCACAGACAAAUAUAUAAUAACUUAAAAUGAUACAAAUUAUAGGACAUUAUGGGAAUGAUUAGGGUUUUUGCCGAGCCAAGCUGAGAAGCUGUAACCUCAAUGAUUUUAACUGGAAAGACAUAUGUUUGUUUUGCUUAUUUAGAUUUGAAUCUGAUGUAAUUUAAGGUAAAUGAAAUUCAAUUUUAUGCAUUUAUCCAAAUUUACAUUUAAAAAUGGAAUAAAAUUAUUGUAAAAAUUACUUAGAAAAUAUAUGCUUAUAUCUUUUUCGGUUACCAAUGAAAAUAGAUAUAUAAACAGUUCUGAAAGAUAAAUACAGUUAAUUAAAACAACAUAAUUUCAAUACAACAUAAUUUCGGAUACCCAUUCGGGUUCGGUUCUGAUCUAUUCGGGUUUCGAGUUUUUGGAUUUAAAAAUUUUAGCUACAUUCGGGUAUUUCUAAAUUUCGGUUCAGAUUCAGUUCGAAUUUUUGCCGGUUCGGUUCGGAUUCGGAAUUUAAAAUAUAUAAUCCGCGCGUAGCGCGGAAAAAGAAUCUAGUUAUUAUAAAAUAUAAAUACAUUUACAAAUAAGAAAGUAAAGAACUUUCUUUGAAAAUUCAUAGAAAAUGAACUAUUGGGAGAAAAAACGAACUUGUAUAUAAAUUCCCUAGACAUUAUUUGAAAACCGAUUUGCCACAAAAAUAUCACACAAAAACGAACAUCGGUAAUUUCAUAUAAUAUUAAAAUAUUAUAUUCUUUCUAUUUCUACAAUAUUAAAAUAUAAAAUUAUAUCUAUGCAACAUCAUUUCUGAAAUUGAGUUGAUUUGGGCCAGGGGCAGGGCCCAUAGAACUAAAUAAACAUAUUUAAACGGCAAGAGUAUCGAACAAUUGUCGAAACCUUAAUUGCCGACCAUGAGGGCGAACCUGAGAUCUUUGGUCGCGAAGGUAGAUCUCGAGAAUCAAACCGCUUGCGAUGUUCUGUUUUUUUCUUUGUUUGUGCGCGAUCUAUCUGAUUUUCGACCAACGUUGUGUUCACAGGCUUACCGCGUUCGUCAAGGCCGUACUUUCUCUUCCUCUUCCUCCACUACCAAUCCUAUCAACUACAAAGGUUAGCCACUUUCUCUCAUGAAUUGGGUGUUGUAUUUGGAGGGAAGUCCUAAGUUUUUAGCUUUAUGAUUGUAGGCGAUAUUUCUAUUUACGAGUACCUCUUCAGUCGAGGUCUGGUAUCGUUCAUCGGGUUCGGCGUUGGUAAGAAGCGUUUGCGUGAGAGAGAGAGAGAGAGAGAGAGAGAGAUUAUAUACUCUUUACUUACGCCUUGAAUUUGGUUUUUUUUUUUUUUUGGUAUCAAGCUUCUUGCAUUACGGGCGACUCUGUUUCCAAAUUCGAUGAAGAGCUGAAAGCGGUAAACUAACAGAACACCAUCAUCGCAAUUUAUAUUGUUGAAUGGUGUUUUUGAUCAUCUUGUGGUUUCAGAUUGACAAGGAUGCUGUGGACUUCUUGGAGAAGAGGGGAAAGCUGCCACCUGGUUCUUUGGACGCUAUGUACAAAUCCUAAUUAGCUCAAGUUCUAACAAAGCCGGCCUUUAUAUAGUUUGUCUCCCUAAUUUGUCUGGUUUAUGUAAGAGAGUCUGCUUAUGGGUGGGCAUCAUCGUUUCCAUGGAUUUGUUUUCUCUUGUGUGGUUUAUAGUUCUGUCUCCCUCAUUUCAUGUAAUGGAGUCUAUUUAUUCCUGAUUUUUUUUCUCACGCAUGCAUACAUGAAGUUACUUGCAAUUAUCACAACAUAUAAUCCAUAAAACGGUGAAUUAAAAUAAGAAGACAAGAUCGGUUGCUCUGAUUCCAAAUCAGAACACGCUAAGUGAAAAUUUGACCUGUUUUCGAGGCCAAUGUCUGAGUCCAGAAAUUCCAACAUCGUUUGGUUACAAACCUGAAUCGUUUGGGUUGUCCUGAAGCUACAAACGACAAAUGAAGCAUUCAUGGAAGGCAAAUCAAGGCAUGCAAACAUCUCCAUUACAUAGCAAAGGUUUCUGAGUUUCUUUUAAGGUCGACCUUGAAAAGAUAGCAAUCAAUCUAAGUUUAGUCUCUUAGCUAUAUUUUCUUUUUCAAGAAUGCCAUGCAUGUCCAUUUAACCACUUUUUUCUUAUAAAAUCAUGGAACUUUCCUUGUGUCCUGAUAAUAUCUAAAGAUGUACAGAGAGAUGAGCAACAAGCGAAGAGGCAUGCAUUAAUAAUCUGUUACUUCCAUACAGCAUGUUAUCAUAUUUCUAGAGGAACAUAUUCAAAGCAUGUUAGGCCUUAUAUGGAACAUUUUUCAUCAUGCUCAUUCUAACAAGAUUUUGAAAGGGAAGCUAACUUUUAAGCGCAGUUUUUUUUUUGACAUCAAUAAACUGAGAAUUUAUACAUGAACUAUAUUAUAUACAUUUGUUCUUUUCCAAAGUUUAGAAAUUAAUGGAAUGUAAUGAAAGGCUAGGCUCAAGUUAAAAAGUAUAUUAUAUUCAUGCAUGGAAGGCACACACACCAGCUUCAUCAGCAAACUCUAAAAACCAUAUAUGUGAUGAACUUACAAACUUCACACUGAUGACAAUACCAUUCAUUACCUUAAUACUUCUCUCUUUUAAUAAGAUAGAUGCAACAGCAUUUGUAAAUUGUGUUGCUUUGGGCCAGGGCCCAUAGAACUACAUUAACAUAUUUAAAAGGCGAGAGUAACGAAACCUUGCGUAAGAAGAUAAGUGGAAACCUAAAUUGCCGACCAUGAGGCCGAACCUGAGAUCUUUGGUCGCUAAGGUAAAUCUCGAGAAUCAGAUUGCGAUCUAUCAUCUGAUUUCUAACUGAAUUUAUGUUCACAGGCUUACCGCGUUCGUCAAGGGCGUACUUUCUCAUCCUCCUCCUCCUCCGCUCCCAAUCCUAUCGAUGACAAAGGUUACCCACUGAUGAAUUGGGUGUUGUAUUUGGAGGGAAGAUCUAAGUUCUUUGCUUUCUUCUGAUUGUAGGGGGAAUUUCUAUUUACGAGUGGCUCUUACCUCGAGGUUUUGCAACGUUAACGGGGUUCGUUGUAGGUAAGAUUCUAUACUCUUUACUUACACCUCGAAUUAGAUUAAUAAUCACGCUUUGUUUCUUGUGUUUUUUUUUUCUUUUUUUUUUGUAUCAAGCUUCUUACUUUACGGGAGAUAGUGCUUCCAAAUUUGAUGAAAUGGUGAAAGAGGUAAGCUAAUAAAACAUCAUCAUGGUAAUGCAGUUGAAUUGGCAAUAUAGUGUUUUAAUCCUCAUGGUAAUCUUGUGUUUUCAGUAUAACAAGGAUGCUGCGGAAUUCUUGGAGAAGAGGGGAAAGCUGCCGCCUAGUUGGGUGGACUCUGUGUCCAAAUCCUAAUAAUCGCAAAGGUUUGGUGCACCACCCAAAAAAAAAGAAAAAAUCGAACCGGCCUCUAUAGUUUGUCUCCCUAAUUCGUCAUAUUAUGUCUGGUUAAUGUAAGAGAGUGCUUAUGGGCAUCGUCGUUUCCAUGGAUUUGUUUUCUCUUGUGUGGUUUAUAGUUCUGUCUCCCUCGUAGUAAUUUUAUGUCUGGUUCAUGUAAUGAAGUCUAUUUAUUCCCUUUGUUACCUAUGAUAUUCUUUUCUCACGCAUACAUGACCCAUGUCACCAUGCAAGAGGUUUUGAAACCCACGAACAUGAAGUUACUUGCAAUUAUCAGUUAUAAUUCAGAAAACGGUGAAUUGAAGUAAGAAGUCAAAAGAUCUGUUGCUCUGGUUCCAAAUCAGAAAACCCCAAGUGAAAAUCUGACUUGCUUAUCGCGGCCAAUGUCUGAGUCCAUAAAUUCCAACAUCGUUUGGUUAUAGGUGGAUAACCUGAAUCGUUUGGUUGGUGGCAAAGAUGUAGUUUGGCUUCCUGAUGUUGACGCCAUCUUUAGCCCAAGACUUUGCAAGUCAGUUCAAGUUGCAGAAAGGUUGUCUUAAGUUCAACUACUGUUCUUGUCCUUAUUAUUCCAGCAAGCAAAAAUUUCAAAUAUGUUUUAGUUACAAUAAUGUGACCAUUAAAAUGUAUGAAACACUAACGCUCCACGUAUUCCCCCUAUUCGUUAUUUCCUUUUCAACACCAUAGUAUGUAACAUGCCGAGUCCUUUCACCAAAGGGAAAAUCCAUCACACCCCUGAAGAUGAAAGAAUGUUUCCAAUUGCAUCUCACAUGAAGAACCUUAGGCAAUCAGUCGCAACCCGCAAGUUAUCUAGGAGAAGCUGCUUGAUUCCUGGUAGUACCUUCACCUUGACUUGCCUGCUUGUCCAAGCCUACUAAAAGAUUUUGGGAAAUCAACACCUUCAGAAAGAGUUUUCUUUUGAUUUCUGCUUAGAGAAGGAAUAGAGGACUAUCUUGCACGACAUGAUUAAGGAGCACGCUUGAAAGAAGUAAAAAGAAGCAUUCAUGGAAGGCCAAUCAUGCCAUGCAAAUGAGAUAUGAGCAACAAGCGAAGAGGCAUGCAUUAAAACCCCAAACAGUCCACGGGAAGGGCCAGCGUCCGGAGUUCAAGGACCAAAGUGCAUAAGCGUGGUAUGAGACUGCUGUAGACAAAUAAGCUUGUAUCCAACUGUAAUAUGAUCUUCAAGAAUCUGCUCAGUACAUGUUUUGUACUUCAUAUCCUCUUCAGGUUUUGCAUCUUGUUUCCAAAACAUCAAGUUCCAAUAAGGCCUCUCCUCGUGCUCUUCACCAAUAAUAUGUAUGACAGAAGACACAUGAAAAUCUGCAACGCUUCUGUGCUUCCAACAGUCCCUAACAUUGUGGUGCGGUGUCCCAAGUUGUUUUUGAGCCCCAAGUUACUGAUUCUCUCCGAAUUUUUUCUUUUGCCUCUGUCUGCGACUGCAAAUCUUGACUCCAAACAGUAUAUCACUUCGCCACUAUCCUCAACCAUAGGACCAGAAUCUAGCCCCCAACAACUCAGUUUCUGUAAAAGACAGAAAAUGCCUCAAACUCAGCUGCAGAUUAUUUGGAAACUGCCACAAAUUGUUGUAAUAGUCCUAAAGAAUCCUUGCAAUCCCACCACGUUGCAUCUUAUUCUAGUAUGCAUAAUUGAAAAUAUCAUGGAAUCUUGCAGUAUGUCUGACAAAUGAUUGAUCACUUGGUCUAUUAAUAAAGAAUAUCUACACUAGUCCAAAUUCCAAUUAUUCAAAAAGGCUACAUGCGAUGGUUUUGAGUUUUUCCACGCAUUCGCCAGAAGUUCUAUCAAAUGUUGUGUGACGAUGCAGCCUAGUUUGUGUAUUACAGUGUGCACAUGUUACAAAUAAAAUGCGUGCUAGUAGCAAAUGUUUUUAAUUGUUGUUCAUUUAUAAUAAGAUUUUGAACACAAUUCUCUUAAGAGUUUUGUUUUGUUUCUCCUUAGUUUAAUUGGCAACUUAGGUUUAUAAAUCAGGUAAACUUUAAUUUUAUUUUAGUAAUAUUUUUUACUUUUAUUCAUUUUAGAUAAUAUAGUUUAUAUGACAUUGACAAUUACAUUUAAUGUUAAUUUAUAUUUUUGGUAAACUUUUAAAAAUAUGGUAAUAACUUGACAUUCUUCUGUUAAGAUUUCCCAUUUGAGAAACUCUUUUCAGUAUUACAUCUAAUGUCGAUUUAUAUAUUUGAAAUUUUUUUUUAGAAUAUGGUAAUAACUCAUAAAUCAUUAUUAAAAUAAAUGUAUUAAAAAAUGGCAUUACAAAUUUCAAAAUAUCAUUUAAUAAUUUAUAUAUUUUUAAAUUAUACAAUUUUAUUACUAAAAUUUACAAAAAAAAAAGUAUACAAUUUUUUUAAAGAAAAUUAUAAAAAUUUGAUCCGCGAGAGAUCAUUUGUAAAUUGUGUUGAAUUGGGCCAGGGCCCAUAGAAGUAAAUGAACAUAUAUUUAAAAGGCAAGAGUAACGAAACCUUGGGCAAGAAGAAAAGUGGAAACCUAAAUUGCCGACCAUGGGGCCGAACCUGAGAUCUUUGGUCGCGAAGGUAAAUCUCGAGAAUCAGAUUGCGAUGUUGUGUUUUGUGAGCGAUCUAUCAUCUGAUUUUUGUCCAAAUUUAUGUUCACAGGCUUACCGCGUUCGUCAAGGGCGUACUUUCUCAUCCUCCGCUCCCAAUCCUAUCGAUGACAAAGGUUAGCCACUUCUUCUCUUUCCCCGUGAUGAAAGAUAAAUCAAAAUCUCGAGAAGUCUAUUUGUAUUUUGAUAUCUGCGAGAUUGGUCUUUCAGGAAAGAGAUCGGUCAUCACCCCAGUCUGGGAGUCUGUUAAUCGUCUUGCCCCCUGGUUUAUUGGUGGAUAUGUGUUUAAAUUUGGUUUGGGUAAUAAAAGUUGAAUUUUGUUUUCCCUAGUUAAGAGAAAAAGACAACAUGUUCAUUCGUGUUUUGCUUUUUUACAUAUAUCUCAGAAAUAUCGGCCUUAAUGAAAUCCAAGCUAAAGUCUAUUGAGUUGCACGAAGAAUAUUUGAGAGAGUUUGAACGUUAUCAUCAGGAAAAGGGUAUGAAUCUUUCCCCUCUUUUUUAUUUUUGGCUUUUGAAGUUCAGAUUGAAACUAACUCCUAUCUCUGUGCUUUUUCUCUUAUUUCGUGCAUUCAGAGCAGAGCCGUAGCCUCCGUCCAUUCUCCUAGAAAUGUAAUGAAAUGUAUUAUAUCUAUUUGCAAUGCCAGUGAACUUAAUUGUCUAUGGUUGUGAUGUACUUGUUUUUUUUUUUUUUUUUGGCGUUUAUAAACAUUGGCCUCUCAGACUUCUUUACGUAUCUUUGUUGUUUCCCACUUGAACCGGGGUGGCUGCCUUGUUAUAUCUAUCAUGUGUAUUCAACUUUUACUCCAUACCCUCUGUAACCGGACAGUCCUCUCUCCCUCUCUCCCAAAGACAAAUUUUCAGAUUUUUCUUUCUUUAUCAAUGUUCUAAUUGCCCACGAAUCCCUAUUCAAGUCAUUUGAUCGAGAUCUAUUUACUUUACAAUAACUAUAAAUGAAUGAAUGUAAGGUCCAAAAUGAAUUUACCACAAUGUCAUUAAUGAAGGGCAAAUUCUUUGUUAUAAACACAACGGCAAAUCAGGUAAUACGUCAGGUUUAUAUGAAUCAAAGUAUUAACUUAGGGUCAUUGCUUCUGCAGUUUUUUCGUUAUAACUUACUCUAAAGACAAUUUGAUUUCUCGGCUUCACCCUGUGUGAUGAUUAUUAUGCAUAUUUAUUAAAUUAGUUAAUGCAUCUAAAUGCAUAUAUAUCAGUUAAAUAUACAUUUUGAUCUUUAAUUCAUUUAAAUCAGGAUAUUAAAGUAAUGCAACACUUGCGUGACUAAACCGUUUUCAUAACGAUGUAUGUAAUGAAACAAAAACGAGAUAAUAAUUAGUCUAGAAGAAAAUAAACUUAUGUAACUUUGCGGUAUAGGAAAGGUAAUAAAAAUGACAUAUUACUACUGAUAAGUUAAAUUUUGUACUUGUUCUAUGUGUGAUUGAAUGAGACGAUCAUAAUUAAAUUUUGAAAUAUCAAAACUAUUCACAAAGUUUACAAAAAGUUUCAAGUACAGAACAGUAGUAAUGAAAACAUAACUUAUACGUUGACCGAAGUUUCUAUUAACAAAUUGUUUACAUAUCUUCUGUAUUUGUAACAAAGAAACACAAAAAAAAAAAGAAAAAAAAAUUCUAUUUUGCUUUAGCUUCAGUUGAGAAACCAAAAAAGAAAUUCUAAUGUAAUUGCCUUUCUAUAAGUUCAAACCAACCAAUUCCUCAAGAGAAAUGAGUACAGAUACUAUUGGCCCCCCUUUUAUUCAUCUAUUUCCUUACAAUCAUUUAUAUAUUUGAUAGUAUUUUAAUUUCAUUUUCUGGCUCCUACAGUUCCCACAAAUUGAAAAAAGAUCUUUGUACUUUCCUCUUUGUAAGAGUCAAAGUUGAGUUGCUUUCGACUCAUGCUGCUAUAGAUGUCGCGAAUAAACAUCUCGAAAGCUGUGUUUUCAUUGGUCGAGUCCAGUGCAGAUGUCUCCAUGGAAAAACAAACCUUCAGCCUCCGAAGGCUUCUGCCUCCCUCAUUGCUCACCGCUCUUAUGCUCUCGAGGUCACUUUUAUUCCCAAUGAGCAUAUUUGCUACUGUUGUGAUGGAGUAAGCUGCAUGAAGAUUCAUCCACUACUGUCAAACUACUUAAAACAGAAAACAAUAAGCUCGUCGCUGGCUCGACGGACGUUCUCGAAGGUGGAGCAGAAAACAAUCACCAAUAUAAACUGAUUAAAACCAUGGUCUAUGGACAAUUAAAUUCUGAACUAUAGAUUUGGGAAGAAAUCAAUUUACAACUCAUAAUUCGGAGAAAAAUAAGUUGAGAACUUUAAAUUCAUGGAGUUUUAACAUGAAGUCAUAGUUUGAUGGAGAUCUGAUGCUAUACGAUAGUUUUCGUGGGGAAAUAGAUCGUUCACCCAAAAAAUGUAUCUUGAUCUUGUUGCAUUUACUAUCAUAAUUAUAAAAGGCAAGAUUUAAGGGGAAAGGAACGUAGGUUUCGAACCUGUCGCUUGAUGGGCGAGAAGAAGAGUUAAUGAACCACUACACUAUGAGACCUCUCACUGUUUUGGCGCCCCUACAUUGUUUUUAAAUUCUGGCGUCUAAAGCCCAUAUUUACGGGCUUUAGCCCAGGGCCGACCCUUCCUCCUUGCCAUCAUAAGACCACCUCUAUCGGUGUCUCUUAAGGUAUAUUCUAAAGAAAAACAAGAAAAAAAAAAAUAAAAAUAAAAGAGCAAGAACCGGUGUCUAUUUUAGGAUUUUUAGAGGUGUUAAAAACUUUACGUGUCACGUUCUUAUUCGACCUUCCAUUUAUGUCUCUCUCUUUCUUCCUCCAAUCUAGAUCACCCCAUUUUCUCCUACGAUGAUGUCAUUUUUAUUUAAACUUUUUAUGUAUGCUUUUUUCAUGUUAUUAAAUUCAAUCAUUCAAAAACAAAAUCCAAUCAUUCAACUUCUAUUAAAAAAAAUUUAAAAACCCUAAAGAGGUUCUCCCAUUGGACCCAAAAAAAAUUAAUUACUCUAAAAAAAGUUCUAAACUCCUCAAAUCACAAAAUUAACUAUUAAAUUAUUUAUUAGAAUCCAUAAUAGGUUCUAACCAUUGAACUUGCUCUAAGAAUCUAUUAGGUUUAAUAAGACUGGAAGCACACAAAAAAAUGUGGCCGCUUUCUUAAAAAAAUAGAGAAAAAAUAUGUUGUAUAGGAGAGUUGAACCCAGAUUGAUAAAACAAAGUCUAAUUUCUAGAGUUAAUACCACUAGACUACGACAGUCUUUUCAAAAUUUUGUGGCCGGAAUAGUUUCUUAAAUAAAUUGGCCGGAAGCAUGUGUUUUAUUGGCUUGGUCCAACAGCUGACUCUGCUUAGAUUUGUUGUCUUUUUGCAUUGUUUACAUUUUAUCCAUAUAUUUUUGUAAAGGUUUUUUAGUCUAAGCUGAAUUCAAUGAUACAAACAAUAACAUGCAAUAAUCAAAUCUCUGUGUAAUUACUAAUUACAAUUGUUAAAUAGAUAUACAUGUGUUGAGAAAAAAAAAGAUGUACAUUUACAAAAUAAGAAAGUAAAGCACUUUCUUUGAAAAAUUCAUAGAAAUUUAACUUUUGUGCAAAAAAAUAAAAGAGUAUUUAAAUAUUUAGUAGAAAGUAGAGUGAUUUAAGAAAAGUAAAGAUAUAUAUAUAUAUAUAUAUUGAGCAAAAAAAAUCAAUUUUUAUUUAUAUAUUUAUAAUAAUAUACUCCAUCACUGUGAUUUUAACUUUUCUAACAUUAAUUUUUUUGGUAAAGAAUCCAACAAUAUUGACUUCUCCAUUCAGAUCUUGCAUUAAAUUCAAUUAACUCUGAAAUAUUUUUCCUUAAGGAAGUAAUAUCAACAUAUAUGGAAGAUUUAACUCUGGUCAAAAUAAAAAUAAUAGAGGGAUAUUAAACUGAGACUUUUCUUGGCAAAGAGUGUAUAAAUAGAGUAGAUGUUCAUAUAUAUAUUAGUCAUUUAUGGUAAUUCCGUAGGUUUUAUUUAAGGAAAGAAAAUAGCAUAUCAUAUCAUUAUAUCAUAUAGUUUGACCAACUUAUGUAUCUAACAACAUAUAAAAAUCGAAUGUGGACCUACUUAUUUUUCAAUUGAAUGUAAUUGACUACCUAAUUGAGUGUCACCUAUGCAUUGGGGUCUCUUUUAAUUAAUACAAAAUUGAGGUUAUAUCUUUUCAAAUGUUCCUCAAUUAAUAUAUAAGGGAUAAUAUACCAAUGAGAAGAUGGACCUCAAUGAAGAAGUCGGGGUACACGCUUGUUACAGUUGGAUACACUCUGUCUUCAUAACAGUGAGGUAUUUGGAUCAGGUUUUUAAUGCAUGCCUCUUCGCUUGUUGCUCAUCUCUCUGAUUUGGAAUCAGAGCAACCGAUCUUGUCUUCUUAUUAAAACAGGUCAAAUUUUCACUUAGCGUGUUCUGAUUUGGAAUCAGAGCAACCGAUCUUGUCUUCUUAUUAAAACAGGUCAAAUUUUCACUUAGCGUGUUCUGAUUUGGAAUCAGAGCAACCGAUCUUGUCUUCUUAUUAAAACAGGUCAAAUUUUCACUUAGCGUGUUCUGAUUUGGAAUCAGAGCAACCGAUCUUGUCUUCUUAUUAAAACAGGUCAAAUUUUCACUUAGCGUGUUCUGAUUUGGAAUCAGAGCAACCGAUCUUGUCUUCUUAUUUUAAUUCACCGUUUUAUGGAUUACAUGUGAAAAUUGCAAGUAACUUCAUGUAUGCGUGAGAGAAAAAAAAUCAGGAAUAAAUAGACUCCAUUACAUGAAAUGAGGGAGACAGAACUAUAAACCACAGAAGAGAAAACAAAUCCAUGGAAACGAUGAUGAGCAUAAGCAGACUCUCUUACAUAAACCAGACAAAUUAGGGAGACAAACUAUAUAAAGUCCGGCUUUGAUUGAACUUGAGCUAAUUAGGAUUUGUACAUAGCGUCCAAAGAACCAGAUGGCAGCUUCCCCCUCUUCUCCAAGAAUUCCACAGCAUCCUUGUCAAUCUGAAACCACAAGAUGAUCAAAAACACCAUUCAAUAUAAAUUGCGAUGAUGGUGUUUUGUUAGUUUACCGCUUUCAGCUCUUCAUCGAAUUUGGAAACAGAGUCGCCCGUAAUGCAAGAAGCUUGAUACCAACAAAAAAAAAACCAAAGCUUGAUUAUUAAUCAUACUAAAUUAUAGCCUUAACCAAACAUAAAUUGUAUUCCUCAAGUCUCUACUCUCCUAUUUUUUCAUUUCUUUUGUUUGUGUUCUUUUUCUAAAACUUGUUUAUUAUAUAGUGUACAUAUAAUAUAAUGCUGGUGUCAUCUUUUGGUCAAACCAAUUAAAUCAUCUCAAAUACUAAAAAAAAAGGUGAAGAUGUAUUUAUAUACUUGUAUCGCUGAUCUUGCAUGGUGAAUAUUUUUAUAUCUUUGAUCACCUUUUGUCACGUUUUAUCUUUGUUGAUGCGAGCGGCUAUUACGUCUUUCGACAGUCGACACUCUCCCAGUAAAUCAUAGUUACGUUGUUUUGUUUUCAACUGUGUUACCUCGCAUCGUUCAAACUCGGGAUCGAAUAAAAAUCUUUUAUCGGUUGUUUUAAGAGCGCUGGAUUGUGCUGAAUUUUGUUAAUAAGAGAUCGGGCAAGUGAUAUAACUCAACUAAUGGAUUUUUUUGUUGGGUUUUGCUGUUAAUUCUUUUGCAAUAAAAAUGAGCUUAGGCUUUUACUAAAAAGAAAAAGAGCUUAGAUGGUUCCCAGAAUCAUUGCAUAAGUAUCAUCAUUAAUUAAUGUUAACAUGAAUGAAUACAUAUUAGAUAAGAUAUAUAUAGCUUACCUAAUAUUUAUGAUAAUCGUCUCUAUUAGCUGUUCACGUUAAUUAAUCCAUACGCAUUCGUCGCUAAAAUUAACAUUUUAUCAAAACAAACAAAGAAACAUAAAAAUGAGGGUGGAAUUUUGUUCCAUAACCUCAUGCCUGCUCCUAAUUGCUCCUUUUCCGAUUCUACAAAGCUACGAGCCAAAAAGGUUUAAUUAUUUUGCGUCUACGUAAACAUCAUCCGUUUUAAAAAAAAAAGUUGAAAUACUAACAUUUAUGUUAUGUAUUUCAAACUGGUAAAAUAUAGCCGAGUUCUGUUAAUCUAUUGGCCUCACUCUUUUUCCUUGAAACCAAAACAUCGUUUUCCACUAAAAUGCCAAAUUAAUUUAUUUCUGAAAGACUUUAACCCUACAUAUAUUAUACUUAUCGAAAUACAUAUUUUGCUAUGUAAAUUUUAUUACUUUAGUUUUAAACUCUUAACAUAAAAUGAUUUAACACAUCUAAUUAUCUUGUAAGCUCAAAAUGGUUUCUCUUUUGGAAAAGUAAUAAAAGAUUAUGAAUAUAUACAAGGAAGUUAAAUGAAAAUAAAAGACAUCUAACUAUCCACCAGUAAACAUUUUAACAGUACAAGAUAAUUAGAGAACUACCACUUAAUUACUUAAACUUCACAUUCUCAUAUUUUCAUGCAAUUACAUUUGACGAGUCAUUUAUAAAGCUCCUAAAUUCAAUCUAUCAAAGCUAAUAGCACAUCCAAUUCUCUUCAUCUCUUCAUAUAUGGUUUUCUUUACAACUUUUUGUCAUAUUUAGAACAUAAAAUAAUAAACAUCUCUAAAAACUUUACAUAUGGUUGAACUUUAUAGUGAAUUUGAUAGGUGUGUCUUGUGAUAUAAAAAAACCAUAAUUGUAAAAGAAAUGUUAAAUAUAAUUAUAUCAGGAAGACUAAAUAGUAUUUUUUUUUUCCUCUCUCUCUCCCCUCCCUCCCUCUCUCUCUCUCUCUCUCUCCACUAUUUAUUAACCCUAAUAUUGUGCCAUUCUCAAAAAAGUUUUAUAAAAGGUUCUCAACUCAAGUUCUUUCUUUUCUCAAAGAACCCAAACAAUGGCCUCUGCAUACAACCCCAUAUACACAGACGUCCCUGAAAAGGACGUCUUUGCCCUCCACUUCCUCCAAACCCUCUCAAACCUCAGAACACAAAACUCUUUCAGUUCUCCUGACAAUAAAACAAGCGAUCGUGUGAAGAAGAUCAAGAAGGCUGCGUACGUACGUGUCCAUGGCCAGAGCAGCCGGGGGAACUAACCGGCUGUGGAGUAGAAGCCUCUUACACCA